RNAcentral lists this ribosomal RNA (800 nucleotides) under Halomonas sp. RNAcentral's name for it is "bacterial SSU rRNA". It matches the Rfam family "Bacterial small subunit ribosomal RNA", at positions 51 to 848 of the family's 1533-position model. The record is from RNAcentral. Lineage: Bacteria; Pseudomonadati; Pseudomonadota; Gammaproteobacteria; Oceanospirillales; Halomonadaceae.
ACACAUGCAAGUCGAGCGGUAACAGAUCCAGCUUGCUGGAUGCUGACGAGCGGCGGACGGGUGAGUAAUGCAUAGGAAUCUGCCCGAUAGUGGGGGAUAACCUGGGGAAACCCAGGCUAAUACCGCAUACGUCCUACGGGAGAAAGGGGGCUCCGGCUCCCGCUAUGGGAUGAGCCUAUGUCGGAUUAGCUGGUUGGUGAGGUAACGGCUCACCAAGGCCACGAUCCGUAGCUGGUCUGAGAGGAUGAUCAGCCACAUCGGGACUGAGACACGGCCCGAACUCCUACGGGAGGCAGCAGUGGGGAAUAUUGGACAAUGGGGGAAACCCUGAUCCAGCCAUGCCGCGUGUGUGAAGAAGGCCCUCGGGUUGUAAAGCACUUUCAGCGAGGAAGAACGCCUAGCGGUUAAUACCCGCUAGGAAAGACAUCACUCGCAGAAGAAGCACCGGCUAACUCCGUGCCAGCAGCCGCGGUAAUACGGAGGGUGCAAGCGUUAAUCGGAAUUACUGGGCGUAAAGCGCGCGUAGGUGGCUUGAUAAGCCGGUUGUGAAAGCCCCGGGCUCAACCUGGGAACGGCAUCCGGAACUGUCAAGCUAGAGUGCAGGAGAGGAAGGUAGAAUUCCCGGUGUAGCGGUGAAAUGCGUAGAGAUCGGGAGGAAUACCAGUGGCGAAGGCGGCCUUCUGGACUGACACUGACACUGAGGUGCGAAAGCGUGGGUAGCAAACAGGAUUAGAUACCCUGGUAGUCCACGCCGUAAACGAUGUCGACCAGCCGUUGGGUGCCUAGCGCACUUUGUGGCG